AUGCUUAUUCAACUACGGCACUGUCGGACAACCGACCGGAUUCAAGCCCUAGCCCCUCAACUCGGACGGACUUGUGGAAAUCCUCGAAAAAAAGUAUUGCUCAACUCACCUAUCUAUAACAUAGAAAUGUUGCAUCCAACCCUGGAACGAGAGGUAAAGAAUAGGCUACCAUACGAGAUGAGACGACUUCAUUCUUGGCUUUCAUCCCUACGCUUAAGAAAGAUAAGGGAUUGGAUUUCAUACCUUUUAUUUAGAGCUCCGUCGUUCCGACUGGAAAAUGUAACCUUCCACCAUACGUAA
This 300-nucleotide ribosomal RNA is filed under the name Triticum aestivum (bread wheat). RNAcentral describes it as "partial small subunit ribosomal RNA". Lineage: Eukaryota; Viridiplantae; Streptophyta; Magnoliopsida; Poales; Poaceae. The record is from RNAcentral.